CAAUAGCGUAUAUUAAAGUUGUUGCGGUUAAAAAGCUCGUAGUUGGAUUUCUGCCGAGGACGACCGGUCCGCCCUCUGGGUGAGCAUCUGGCUCGGCCUGGGCAUCCUCUUGGAGAACGUAGCUGCACUUGACUGUGUGGGGCGGUAUCCAGGACUUUUACUUUGAGGAAAUUAGAGUGUUUCAAGCAGGCAUACGCCUUGAAUACAUUAGCAUGGAAUAAUAAGAUAGGACCUCGGUUCUAUUUUGUUGGUUUCUAGAGCUGAGGUAAUGAUUAAUAGGGAUAGUUGGGGGCAUUCGUAUUUAACUGUCAGAGGUGGAAUUCUUGGAUUGCGUUACGACAAACUACUGCGAAAGCAUUUGCCAAGGAAUGUUUUCAUUGAUCAAGAACGAAAGUAAUGGGAGUCGAAGACGAUC
RNAcentral lists this ribosomal RNA (415 nucleotides) under uncultured eukaryote. RNAcentral describes it as "SSU rRNA". It matches the Rfam family "Eukaryotic small subunit ribosomal RNA", at positions 592 to 1009 of the family's 1831-position model. The record is from RNAcentral.